ACGCUGGCGGCAUGCUUUACACAUGCAAGUCGGACGGCAGCACAGAGAAGCUUGCUUCUUGGGUGGCGAGUGGCGAACGGGUGAGUAAUAUAUCGGAACGUACCGAGUAAUGGGGGAUAACUAAUCGAAAGAUUAGCUAAUACCGCAUAUUCUCUGAGGAGGAAAGCAGGGGACCUUCGGGCCUUGCGUUAUUCGAGCGGCCGAUAUCUGAUUAGCUAGUUGGUGGGGUAAAGGCCUACCAAGGCGACGAUCAGUAGCGGGUCUGAGAGGAUGAUCCGCCACACUGGGACUGAGACACGGCCCAGACUCCUACGGGAGACAGCAGUGGGGAAUUUUGGACAAUGGGCGCAAGCCUGAUCCAGCCAUGCCGCGUGUCUGAAGAAGGCCUUCGGGUUGUAAAGGACUUUUGUCAGGGAAGAAAAGGCUGUUGCUAAUAUCGACAGCUGAUGACGGUACCUGAAGAAUAAGCACCGGCUAACUACGUGCCAGCAGCCGCGGUAAUACGUAGGGUGCGAGCGUUAAUCGGAAUUACUGGGCGUAAAGCGAGCGCAGACGGUUACUUAAGCAGGAUGUGAAAUCCCCGGGCUCAACCUGGGAACUGCGUUCUGAACUGGGUGACUAGAGUGUGUCAGAGGGAGGUAGAAUUCCACGUGUAGCAGUGAAAUGCGUAGAGAUGUGGAGGAAUACCGAUGGCGAAGGCAGCCUCCUGGGAUAACACUGACGUUCAUGCUCGAAAGCGUGGGUAGCAAACAGGAUUAGAUACCCUGGUAGUCCACGCCCUAAACGAUGUCAAUUAGCUGUUGGGCAACUUGAUUGCUUAGUAGCGUAGCUAACGCGUGAAAUUGACCGCCUGGGGAGUACGGUCGCAAGAUUAAAACUCAAAGGAAUUGACGGGGACCCGCACAAGCG
RNAcentral lists this ribosomal RNA (909 nucleotides) under uncultured bacterium. Its description in RNAcentral is "bacterial SSU rRNA". It matches the Rfam family "Bacterial small subunit ribosomal RNA", at positions 33 to 931 of the family's 1533-position model. The record is from RNAcentral.